GCCAACGCGACAACAACCGCAGAUUCCGACGCGAUUGUACUUGCUCAAGCUGUUGUGUUUAUUCAUCUACUUGCUGUAAUUAAGUUCGUGCCCCGCAAACUAUCUAGAGUUUGACGUUCCUCUAAGAUACACACGGGAUCGUUGGCUUAGCUCUGUGUCGCGGUGAUUAUCUGCAGUCGUUUUAUUGGAUGAUUUACAAGCUUUUCUCGGCAGAGGAUGUGAACAUUGGCGGAGUUCCGUGUGCUUCCAGGCCAGGGUUGCCAGGUUCUCAAAACCACCAGUUACUACUAUAAAAAAAAAAAAAAAAAAAAAAAAGAAUACGGUCUUGGCAACGCUGGUGCUUUCCGAGAUGUCACGUCAGUGCUGCUUUGGUCUCAACACCUGAAAAGACUUUGGUCUCAAUCAACAAAUAUUCAUCUGUACGCUCACGUGAACCUGCAGGAAUGAAGUCUCUCCGGACCAGCAGAGAGAAUUAAGGCUGCCAGUCUCUUCGGCAUCUCGCCUCCAUCACUUCACAAGUCUACAGCAUUAUAAGUAUCAUUUUGUUCUAUGCACUUGCGGCGCCUGGGCAUUAAUUUAUUCUCUGCAAGGAUUUAUACUUACACGUUCAAAUAAAGCACUGGGCGUUUCGUGCUUGUUUAUUGACUUGCACAGCAUAAUUAAGAUGUUGAUCAUAGUGCAUGCAAUUCUCUGAAUUUCUUCGUAAUGAGGCACUUUAAGGCUCAUCAUAAACGCUACAAUCUUUAUACUGAUAAAGAUUUUUCGCAUUUCUUAAAAAAAAAGCUCUGUCUAGCACACUUGAGAUUCGCUGUUUUAAUCCUAUGCUUUAAUAUUUGUUUAUUCAGUCUUUCAUUUGCGUUAUUCCUGAAAAGUUCAUACUCUAAUGGGAUUCUAUGGUUGCAGAUGCAGGGAACCGCUGCUCUCACCUCAUCUUUACAUGGCUUACUCUUGGGCUAGCGAAUUAUGAACACUGGAUCUACCAAGCUGAUGCGUAUAUGGACCCUUCUUUUGAGUCGUAGGUAAGAUUCGGCUCAAUGCUCAGUCAGCAGGCAUAUAACUCCACGUGACACGAGUUGCUGCUGACCUUAUUUCAGAGUAGUGACAUAUCUCCAGUUUAAACGAAUAUUAAUUAGCAGGCAUGGUUUGUUUGCACUCCUGGUCUCCGUCUCAAGGCGCGGUCGCACUAGACUUUAAACAUGCGAAAUUAUUUCGAACGCCACUGCGAAUAUGGGCGGGAGCAAGAUAAAACAGUCUCCCCUCAAUUAUCACAAGAUGGAUUAUUAUUUUUUUCUAGCACUGUGUCUUUUGCCACGGGGUCGAAAGCGUUUUAUUAUUGUAACGUUACUCUGUAUCUCUCUAUAAAUAUAUACACCCUAAGGGAGGAGGGGGAGAAGAAAGAAGAAGAGAAAAAAUUUUUAUAAAACGUUGUCAUUCCAAUGUAUCACCGGUUCCCGUCGACACUACAAACCAUGCAGCUUUUCUUUUAUAAAUCUUUUAAUGUAUUAUAAACUAGGACGCUGUGCAACAGCUAAAGUGUAUAUAGCGCUUCCUUUUUGAAUUUUUGUACAGAGGCCAUGCAGCAAUGUAUCGCUCUUCUACUGGUCCACAUUCUCACGUUAUGCAAAUUCCCUGGUCAGAGUUCACCAAACUUGAACUUUGGAACGCAGUGAAAUGCAAAAUUUUUCGCAUAAGCUUGCGUUUCCGGUCCGACGCAUUCGCAUGCGUAUGAAUGGAAGUCAAUGGAGGGAAAAGUGCAGUGUGACCGCCCAUCACUCAUAACUAACUAACGGCCGGAGGGGCGCGUUAAGUAGGUUCUGCUCAUGCUGUCAAACUGACGUCAUCAGAAAAAUUAUUCGUUACAGGGUGGAAAUAUUCAGAAUUUGAUAAGAUUGCUAAGACAAACAAUGUUUAAUUGUUUACAUCAAGAUUAGCAAUGUGUGCUAGUAAGCGUAAGUCAAUUCGAUUUAUGCAUAUUUUAAACUUAACCUCUGAUACCUCAACUUAAAAUUAUAAAAGAAAAAAAAAAAAAAAAUUGGGGAGUGACAGUUAAGGGGUUAAGCUACAAUCAAGGCUUGUUUAUAUUCGCGCAUCUACUGGUGUUGGUUCAUCACUCUUACUCAGCCGUUGCGGCUUUCACUUUACACUUUUAAACUUUCAGACAGCUGUGCCCUCAGCAAACCCGGAUUCUUCAGUUUGCCCUCCGUUAGCAGACAUAAUACUAAACGAAGUGCUUACGUCAGCUGGAAAUCACAUUUCUAAGGCGUCGCUCCCUCUACAAUCAAGCCUACACGUUUGCAUGGUCCGCUUCUAAUGUUUUUCCUUCCAAUUUUUGCGUUCCUAUUCUAAUUUCGACCGUUGCUCCGUUCUUGUCAAAAAAAAAAAAAAAAAAAAAAAAUCGCAAUCUUAAUUUCUCUAUUCGCAGACUCCUUGCCAGCAUCUAAUCCACGCUAAAUUUUAUAAUCUAGUUUUCAAGCCUUUUGGUUAUUCAGUUCUAUUACUACUUGAGGGGUUAGCUAAAUCUUCCAACAAAUUAAAGACAAAUGUCUGCCUAUUACCCUGCCCAUAUUGCAAAAUGAAUUACUUCCAUCUGCUAAGGCCUUCCUUCAAAGUACCUCAAUAUUCUUCUGGAGGCAGUGUUUAUCUGCCUUCUACAGGUUAUGCUUCCAGGGGAAUUCACUUCAAACCAAUCAAUUUGAUCCUGCUCGUGGCAUUUCCUUCAGAUCUAUGAUUCGGACCAAAAAUUCUUCACACUCUCCUCAAGCACUCAAAAACCGAUGUGUAAGGUUCUGGUGUCACCUUAACAAUUCUAAAAUCAAUAAUCCUGUCCCUUCUCUGCAUGGUGAAAUUUCUUAAAAAUCCGACCUAGAAUUUCUAAAACGAACCAGCUCUAUUUUUCCUAACGGAACCCCCUUUCCAAGGCUGUUUAGAACUCCCUUAACCACUGUUCUCAAAGCUGCAGUCUAUCUACUGGCCAUUCAUUCAGAAUUGGGGCAGCUACUUCAGCAGCUGAAUGAGGGAUCUCUACAUCAGCUGUUAAGAUCAUGGGCAGAUGGUCUUCCUAAGCAUUUGAAUCAUACAUCAGACCUGAUUCAAAACCAUUAUUGAAGCUCAGCAAGCUCUCCUGUAACUAAUCAGGAACCUUAGGAUUCACAACUGGUGGGUAUACUUCAUCUACUUUUUUGGGGGGAAGGCUGGCCCUGUCUGGAGGUCUCAUAAUCCACCUAAUUUUGGGGGUCUGCUGCGCCCCUGCCUUCGUCUUCAGGCAGGAAAUGCAGAUUCGCUACCCUCGGAUUACGAACCAUGGACGGGGCCUUCCGCCAAAGAAAUUUAUAAUUGUGCUCGCUGAGCUGUCAAUAAAUGUAUGCUUCGUACAUUCCUCUA
Long non-coding RNA from Carassius gibelio (silver crucian carp), 3381 nucleotides. RefSeq lists it as uncharacterized. NCBI's taxonomy places the organism in Eukaryota, Metazoa, Chordata, Actinopteri, Cypriniformes, Cyprinidae. The record is from RefSeq and is a predicted model, not a curated record. The transcript is spliced from 2 exons.